Molecule: ribosomal RNA, 497 nt
Filed under: uncultured bacterium
Lineage: Bacteria
Description: partial 16S ribosomal RNA
Rfam family: Bacterial small subunit ribosomal RNA
Source: RNAcentral
GAUGAACGCUGGCGGCGUGCCUAAUACAUGCAAGUCGAGCGAACAGAUAAGGAGCUUGCUCCUUUGACGUUAGCGGCGGACGGGUGAGUAACACGUGGGUAACCUACCUAUAAGACUGGAAUAACUCCGGGAAACCGGGGCUAAUGCCGGAUAACAUUUAGAACCGCAUGGUUCUAAAGUGAAAGAUGGUUUUGCUAUCACUUAUAGAUGGACCCGCGCCGUAUUAGCUAGUUGGUAAGGUAACGGCUUACCAAGGCAACGAUACGUAGCCGACCUGAGAGGGUGAUCGGCCACACUGGAACUGAGACACGGUCCAGACUCCUACGGGAGGCAGCAGUAGGGAAUAUUCCGCAAUGGGCGAAAGCCUGACGGAGCAACGCCGCGUGAGUGAUGAAGGUCUUCGGAUCGUAAAACUCUGUUAUUAGGGAAGAACAAAUGUGUAAGUAACUGUGCACGUCUUGACGGUACCUAAUCAGAAAGCCACGGCUAACUACGUG